This is a long non-coding RNA of Onychostoma macrolepis, 956 nucleotides long. RefSeq lists it as uncharacterized. The transcript is spliced from 6 exons. NCBI's taxonomy places the organism in Eukaryota, Metazoa, Chordata, Actinopteri, Cypriniformes, Cyprinidae. The record is from RefSeq and is a predicted model, not a curated record.
CCACGCGGCACGCACUGCAUCGCGCCGACGCCAUUACUACUCACUGUUUGGCUGUAAUUUUCGGGAGAAGAUGUUUUCCUUCAGUGUAUCCAAGAAAGUAAUCGGACGGUCUCGGAUGUUGAUGCAGUGGAGCAGAAACUGGCAUUUUGACCAUUUAGCAGAGUCAACCAUGACGAAGAUUUCCCUGGAGAUGAGCAUGAAGAUCAGGUCUUUGUGGAUAGCAGGGCAUCAUUUCUCUGACGUCAGAACAUUCUUGAUGCAGUCAGGUGUUCAUGUAUCCAGUGACACUAUUAGACGACAUCGUCGCCAGACUCCUGCAACUAAAAAACCAUCUGUAUUGAGUUAUUGUGUAUAUAGUGCUGUACUUCAAUGCAUUGAGGAAAUACUGCAUGAAGACGAUGAACGUUCUGCUAAAAAAAUUCAAAAUGAGCUUCAGUCCCGAUUGCAGUUAAAAAAUAUCAAUCAGUACCAUCAGAAGGUCCAUAAAGAAACUUGGAUGGACUUAUGGAAAAGCCCUGACCGACCCUAUGAUCAGGGACAACAACAAGGCCCUGCGCCUUAGCCAAGUGCAGCAGUGGAUGGAUGUUGAGGAGACCUUUGACAAUAUAAUGAUCCAAAACAUACAGCAUCAAGACACUGUAUUGCUGAGGAGGGGAUCAACUGGGUGAAAACACCAGCCGAAUCACCAGAUCUCAACCCCAUCGAGCUGGUUUGGCACGCACUGAAGGAGUUUAUCAGACGUGAGGCUAAACCAUGGAACAAAGCUGAGCUUCUCCAGGCCAUUGUGACCUUCUGGACAGAUCGCCUGACAAAAACAACCUGCAAUAAAUACAUUGAUCACCUUCAGAAGGUUUUGCUGUUGGUGGUACAGCGCGACGGGGGUUCUACCGGAAUGUAGACGUAUAUUUAUUGAUCUUUUUUUCAUUAUUUAUUAAAGGAAAUUGCUGAUCAUAAUA